Molecule: ribosomal RNA, 456 nt
Filed under: uncultured bacterium
Lineage: Bacteria
Description: bacterial SSU rRNA
Rfam family: Bacterial small subunit ribosomal RNA
Source: RNAcentral
UACGGGAGGCAGCAGUGGGGAAUAUUGCACAAUGGGCGCAAGCCUGAUGCAGCCAUGCCGCGUGUAUGAAGAAGGCCUUCGGGUUGUAAAGUACUUUCAGCGGGGAGGAAGGCGAUGCGGUUAAUAACCGCGUCGAUUGACGUUACCCGCAGAAGAAGCACCGGCUAACUCCGUGCCAGCAGCCGCGGUAAUACGGAGGGUGCAAGCGUUAAUCGGAAUUACUGGGCGUAAAGCGCACGCAGGCGGUCUGUUAAGUCAGAUGUGAAAUCCCCGGGCUUAACCUGGGAACUGCAUUUUGAAACUGGCAGGCUUGAGUCUUGUAGAGGGGGUAGAAUUCCAGGUGUAGCGGUGAAAUGCGUAGAGAUCUGGAGGAAUACCGGUGGCGAAGGCGGCCCCUGGGACAAAGCUGACGCUCAGGUGCGAAAGCGUGGGGAGCAAACGAGGGAUUAGGAUACC